RNAcentral lists this ribosomal RNA (253 nucleotides) under uncultured bacterium. RNAcentral describes it as "partial 16S ribosomal RNA". It matches the Rfam family "Bacterial small subunit ribosomal RNA", at positions 524 to 776 of the family's 1533-position model. The record is from RNAcentral.
UACGUAGGGUGCGAGCGUUGUCCGGAAUUAUUGGGCGUAAAGAGCUUGUAGGCGGUUUGUCGCGUCUGCUGUGAAAAUCCGGGGCUCAACCCCGGACUUGCAGUGGGUACGGGCAGACUAGAGUGCGGUAGGGGAGACUGGAAUUCCCGGUGUAGCGGUGAAAUGCGCAGAUAUCAGGAGGAACACCGGUGGCGAAGGCGGGUCUCUGGGCCGUAACUGACGCUGAGGAGCGAAAGCGUGGGGAGCGAACAGG